Long non-coding RNA from Dendroctonus ponderosae (mountain pine beetle), 623 nucleotides. RefSeq lists it as uncharacterized. NCBI's taxonomy places the organism in Eukaryota, Metazoa, Arthropoda, Insecta, Coleoptera, Curculionidae. The record is from RefSeq and is a predicted model, not a curated record. The transcript has 2 exons.
GCGUCAACAGUCAACAACAUCUGUAUAAACAGGUAUUUAAAAGUGAUACACCCAUAUGUGAAGAAAAAAGUCUAUGAACAAUGUUAUAACAUAUGGAGCAGAAACUGUGACAUUAACAAAAGAGUCUAAGAAAUGAAACGGAGAUCGGCGGGUAAUGUGGCGAGAACAUCAAAUAACAAGUGAGAAGUAACCACGAGAAGAGAAACGCAACAGAGGAAGGCUCAGACAGAGGAUGACAUAAAGAGGAAUUGGAUGGCGAUGGCCUAGAAUCGAGAGAAAUGGAGGAACUUAGAGGAGUUCAGCACUGUCUAACGGUUAGGUACAUGAUGAUGAUAAUGAUGAUCACAAAGUAAAUGACUGAAAAAUUUACUGAUUGUCCAGAAACCACACAAAAAAAUGAAGGAAUUUUCGAUAAUCCUUGAAAAGCGAUACUAUAGAAUAUAAUCAUUUACACAAAUGGCAAGAUUAUUACAUAGCCUUUGGCCUAGAUACAAAUUGAAUUCUUCAUUGGAGUAGUCUAGGUGUUGUAUUCCAAUAGAACCUGGUGUCGAAAUUUAACAUUUAUAUAUGUAACAACUUGACCAUGUAAUAGCUUUGUUUCAGAAAUAAAUGAAUGAACGGUU